GAUAGCCGGGCCUCGCGCAACGGCAAGCCGUGAACCCCGCCAGGUCCGGAAGGAAGCAACGGCAGCGGCCCCCGCCGUGUGCCGCGGGCAAGCCCGGCUAUCAUCU
RNAcentral lists this signal recognition particle RNA (106 nucleotides) under Pelobacter propionicus DSM 2379. RNAcentral describes it as "SRP RNA; RNA component of signal recognition particle". It matches the Rfam family "Bacterial small signal recognition particle RNA". Rfam says of the family: The signal recognition particle (SRP) is a universally conserved ribonucleoprotein involved in the co-translational targeting of proteins to membranes. Archaeal SRP consists of a 7S RNA and homologues of the eukaryotic SRP19 and SRP54 proteins. Lineage: Bacteria; Pseudomonadati; Thermodesulfobacteriota; Desulfuromonadia; Desulfuromonadales; Desulfuromonadaceae. The record is from RNAcentral.